This 361-nucleotide long non-coding RNA is filed under the name Homo sapiens (human). Its description in RNAcentral is "HSALNT0169807". The record is from RNAcentral. Lineage: Eukaryota; Metazoa; Chordata; Mammalia; Primates; Hominidae.
GGGGAGGUAGUUGAAUCAUGGGGCGCUGGUCUUUCCUGUGCUAUUCUUGUGAUAGUGAAUAAGUCUCAUGAGAGCUGAUGGGUUUAUCAGGGCUUUCCACUUUUGCUUCUUCCUGAUUCUCUCUUGCUGCCACCAUGUAAGAAGUGCCUUUCACCCUCUGCCAUGAUUGUGAGACCUCCCCUGCCAUAUGGAACUGGAGAUGGAAGAGGAGGGAGCCAGACAGAAGGGAUGGGAAGAGUCCUGAGAAGACCAGCAGGCCACAUUGGGAAGCUGGACCAUGAGGGGCUCAAGAUUGCAGCUGCAGUUAUCAAAAAGCGACAAUGAGACCAGGCCAGAAAAUGGACAUCCACCCUGAUUCUAC